This 460-nucleotide ribosomal RNA is filed under the name uncultured bacterium. Its description in RNAcentral is "partial 16S ribosomal RNA". It matches the Rfam family "Bacterial small subunit ribosomal RNA", at positions 338 to 795 of the family's 1533-position model. The record is from RNAcentral.
CCUACGGGAGGCAGCAGUGAGGAAUAUUGGUCAAUGGACGAAAGUCUGAACCAGCCAAGUAGCGUGAAGGAUGACUGCCCUAUGGGUUGUAAACUGCUUUUAUAUGGGAAUAAAAUGUUCCACGUGUGGGAUUUUGUAUGUACCAUAUGAAUAAGGAUCGGCUAACUCCGUGCCAGCAGCCGCGGUAAUACGGAGGAUCCGAGCGUUAUCCGGAUUUAUUGGGUUUAAAGGGAGCGUAGGUGGCUUGUUAAGUGUGUUGUGAAAGUUUGCGGCUCAACCGUAAAAUUGCAGUUCAAACUGGCAGUCUUGAGUACAGUAGAGGUGGGCGGAAUUCGUGGUGUAGCGGUGAAAUGCUUAGAUAUGACGAAGAACCCCGAUUGCGAAGGCAGUUCACUGGACUGCAACUGACACUGAGGCUCGAAAGUGUGGGUAUCAAACAGGAUUAGAUACCCGUGUAGUC